This 71-nucleotide small RNA is filed under the name Arabidopsis thaliana (thale cress). RNAcentral describes it as "ATSL230860". Lineage: Eukaryota; Viridiplantae; Streptophyta; Magnoliopsida; Brassicales; Brassicaceae. The record is from RNAcentral.
AAAAUAUGCGGUCAUGAUCUUGCUCUGGAGAACUAUUGAGCCUGCGGUAAUGGCGUAAUGCAAUUGUUCCU